This 1856-nucleotide long non-coding RNA is filed under the name Homo sapiens (human). RNAcentral describes it as "HSALNT0232547". The record is from RNAcentral. Lineage: Eukaryota; Metazoa; Chordata; Mammalia; Primates; Hominidae.
CCACCGUUGGCCCCAUCUCUGAGCUUUGGGCACUCCAGAGAACAAUGUAUUGGCUUCCUCAGUGAUGUGGCUUCUUCCACGGGAGAGCACUGAACUGUGAGCCACAGUGGCCCCAUCUGGUGGCUGUCCUGCCUACUUCCCAGCCUCGUGAUCUUGGGCAAGUCAAUUCCCAUCUCUGAGCCUCAAUUUCCUCAUCCCUCUCCUGGGCUGUGGUGGAGAUGACAGGGUCCAGUGGUCAGGAAGCAGGCUGACGGCUGCAAAAUAAUUUUGGCCAGAAACAAGAGGAGUCCUGUCCGAGGAGAGCCCGGCUGGCUGACUGGAAUCCCAAGACAUGCCAAGGUCCCUGGGAAAUGACAGGACACCCAGAUCUGCUGGGAGCAGAGUUCUCAUAGGGUCCCAGCUGAGCCCUGGAACUCCCCAGACCCCCUCUGCCACUCCAUCUCUGCGUCAGCCCAGCACCUGUGCCCUAUCCGGCUUUGGCCACCAUCUCCACCCUGGGGAGGGGGAGCAUAACCCCCUCCAGCCUGAGGUUGGCGCCAAGGUUUAGGAGCCAGCACAGAAGCCUCUGAGAGCCAUAAGGGUAGAAAAGGUUACCCGGUACUAAACCAGCCAGCCUCGGGGUGAUCUCAUCCACUUCCCAAGAUAAGCCCCCUCCCCCACCCUCUGGCCACUGGCCAACAGGUUAACAGAGAGACUCCCUCACUGGAAGCAACUCAGAGUGGCUGAAGCACAGAAGUGGUAGAGAGACAGGUCUCUAUUGCUCAGGCUGGAGUGCAGUGGCAUGAUCAUAGCUCACUGUAACCUCAAACUCCUGGGUUCAAGCGAUCCUUCUGCCUCAGCCUCCCAAGUGGCUGGAACUACAGGGGUGUGCGACCACUCCUGGCUCAUUUUGUUCAACAUUAUUUUGUUACAACAUUGAUGAAGAAAAAAAUCUAUUUCUGGCUGGGGCUACUGUCUGUGUGGAGUCUGUAGAGGACUUUCUCUGGGUACUCUGGUUUCUUCCCCCAUCCCAAAGAUGUGCAUGUUAGAUUAACUAGCUUGUCUGCAUGCUCCCAGUCUGCAUGAGUGUGAGUGUACUCAAGGCAAUGGCAUCCUGUCUAGGCCUGGUUCCCGCCUGGCGCCCUGAGCUGCUGGGAUAGGCUCCAGCCAUCCAUGACCUUGAACUGGAAUAACUGGAUAAAUAAUUCUAUUACUUGUUUUUAUUAAUCUUUCUUUCUUUCUUUUUUUUUUUUUUUUUUGAGAUGGAGUUUCACUCUUGUUGCCCACGCUGGAGUGCAAUGACACAAUCUUGGCUCACUGCAACCUCCGCCUCCUGGAUUCAAGAAAUUCUCCUGCCUCAGCCUCCUGAGCAGCUGGGAUUACAGGUGCCCACCACCAAGCCCGGCUAAUUUUUGUAUUUUUAGGAGAGACAGGGUUUCGCCAUGUUGGCCAGGCUGGUCUCAAAUCCCUGACCUCAGGUGAUCCACCUUCCCCAGCCUCCCAAAGUGCUGGGAUUACAGGUGUGAGCCACCACACCUGGCCUUGUUUCUAUUAGUCUUUCUUACACGUGUUUCAAUGUUUAAUAUGAGAAGCAUUUGGGUCUUUAUUUAGAAGUCUGAUGAUAUUUCUAUCACCAGAAAUAUGCUGUAGGAACUUAACUCUUGUUUAUGUCAAUUAGCCUAUGACAAAAUUGGUUUCCUUGUAUGUCAUUUUGCUUAAAGCUGCAAUUUCCAAGAACUACAUUAAGUGAGGACAUUAUAUAAAGACUUACUAUAUUCUAUUAGUUGUUGUCAGGCCUCUGAGCUCAAGCUAAGCCAUCAUAUCCCUUGUGACCUGCACCUAUACAUCCAGAUGGCCUGGAGCAACUGAAGAUCCAC